This 253-nucleotide ribosomal RNA is filed under the name uncultured bacterium. RNAcentral describes it as "partial 16S ribosomal RNA". It matches the Rfam family "Bacterial small subunit ribosomal RNA", at positions 524 to 776 of the family's 1533-position model. The record is from RNAcentral.
GACGUAGGGAGCAAGCGUUAUCCGGAAUUAUUGGGCGUAAAGAGCUCGUAGGCGGUUUGUCGCGUCUGCCGUGAAAGUCCGGGGCUCAACUCCGGAUCUGCGGUGGGUACGGGCAGACUAGAGUGAUGUAGGGGAGACUGGAAUUCCUGGUGUAGCGGUGAAAUGCGCAGAUAUCAGGAGGAACACCGGUGGCGAAGGCGGAUCUCUGGGCCAUUACUGACGCUGAGGAGCGAAAGCGUGGGGAGCGAACAGG